This is a non-coding RNA of Trichonephila clavipes, 95 nucleotides long. NCBI's taxonomy places the organism in Eukaryota, Metazoa, Arthropoda, Arachnida, Araneae, Nephilidae. The record is from the annotation of a GenBank genome assembly.
GUUAGGAUGGCCGAUCGGUCGAAGGCGCUGCGUUUAGCUCACAUCUAAGGGCGUGGGUUCAAGGCGCUGCGUUUCACUUAAUCCCACUUCUGAUA